UGAUCUCGGAGAUGUCUGAGAAGCCUGGAUAUGAGAUGUGUACAGAGCUUAAAUGAGUUGCCAAGGAAAUGCUACAUCUAGUGCCAAGUAAAGAGAACUUCUGGCUCAUGCUCCGUGCAAUUAAACAGUGGGCAAAACGACAUGGCAUUUACUCCAACCUGCUGGGAUUUCUUGGUGGGGUUUGCUGGACAAUGCUGGUAGCAAGAACAUGUCUGCUCUAUCCAAAUGCUUUGGCUUCUGCUCUUGUGAACAA
Long non-coding RNA from Athene cunicularia (burrowing owl), 253 nucleotides. RefSeq lists it as uncharacterized. The record is from RefSeq and is a predicted model, not a curated record. Lineage: Eukaryota; Metazoa; Chordata; Aves; Strigiformes; Strigidae. The transcript is spliced from 3 exons.